CGAACGGGUGAGUAAUGCGUCGGAACGUACCGAGUAAUGGGGGAUAACGCUCCGAAAGGUGUGCUAAUACCGCAUACGCCCUCCGGGGGAAAGCAGGGGAUCGUAAGACCUUGCGUUAUUCGAGCGGCCGACGUCUGAUUAGCUAGUUGGUGAGGUAAUGGCUCACCAAGGCGACGAUCAGUAGCGGGUCUGAGAGGAUGAUCCGCCACACUGGAACUGAGACACGGUCCAGACUCC
Molecule: ribosomal RNA, 237 nt
Filed under: uncultured bacterium
Lineage: Bacteria
Description: partial 16S ribosomal RNA
Rfam family: Bacterial small subunit ribosomal RNA
Source: RNAcentral